GACGAACGCUGGCGGCGUGCUUAACACAUGCAAGUCGAACGCUGAAGCUCAGCUUUUGUUGGGUGGAUGAGUGGCGAACGGGUGAGUAACACGUGAGUAACCUGCCCCCUUCUUUGGGAUAACGCCCGGAAACGGGUGCUAAUACUGGAUAUUCACUGGUCUUCGCAUGGGGGUUGGUGGAAAGGGUUUUUCUGGUGGGGGAUGGGCUCGCGGCCUAUCAGCUUGUUGGUGGGGUGAUGGCCUACCAAGGCUUUGACGGGUAGCCGGCCUGAGAGGGUGACCGGUCGCAUUGGGACUGAGAUACGGCCCAGACUCCUACGGGAGGCAGCAGUGGGGAAUAUGGCACAAUGGGCGCAAGCCUGAUGCAGCGACGCCGCGUGAGGGAUGGAGGCCUUCGGGUUGUGAACCUCUUUCGCUCAUGGUCAAGCCGCAACAAUGGUUGUGGUGAGGGUAGUGGGUAAAGAAGCGCCGGCUAACUACGUG
Molecule: ribosomal RNA, 483 nt
Filed under: uncultured bacterium
Lineage: Bacteria
Description: partial 16S ribosomal RNA
Rfam family: Bacterial small subunit ribosomal RNA
Source: RNAcentral